GUGGCUCAAUGGUAGAGCAUCUGCUUUGGAUGCACAUGGUUCCAGGUUCUAUCCCUGGCAUCUGCU
RNAcentral lists this transfer RNA (66 nucleotides) under Sphaerodactylus townsendi. RNAcentral describes it as "tRNA-Pro". It matches the Rfam family "tRNA". From Rfam's summary of the family: Transfer RNA (tRNA) molecules are approximately 80 nucleotides in length. Lineage: Eukaryota; Metazoa; Chordata; Lepidosauria; Squamata; Sphaerodactylidae. The record is from RNAcentral.